AGCUCCAGUAGCGUAUAUUAAAGUUGUUGCAGUUAAAAAGCUCGUAGUUGGAUUUCUGACUGACCAAGUAUGGUCCGGCGUCCUCAGGGCGCUGUGUACCGUCUUGCGUUUGUCAUCCUUCCAGAGAGCCGUGCCUACCGUUCUGCGGCAGGGCGCGUGCGAUCUGGAUCUUUUACUUUGAAAAAAUUAGAGUGUUCCAAGCAAGCUUACGCUUUGAAUACAUUAGCAUGGAAUAAUAAUAUAGGACUUCUGUUCUAUUUUGUUGGUUUCUAGGACCGAAGUAAUGAUUGAUAGGGAUAGUUGGGGGUGCUAGUAUUAAGCGGCCAGAGGUGAAAUUCUUGGAUUCGCUUAAGACUAACUACUGCGAAAGCAUUCACCAAGGAUGUCUUCUUUAAUCAAG
RNAcentral lists this ribosomal RNA (400 nucleotides) under phytoplankton environmental sample. RNAcentral describes it as "partial small subunit ribosomal RNA". It matches the Rfam family "Eukaryotic small subunit ribosomal RNA", at positions 587 to 981 of the family's 1831-position model. The record is from RNAcentral.